UCUUCAGCGGGACUUGGAAUUCCUGGAGAAUUCAGUUGCCUUUGUGAAAGCUGGCAUAAUUUCUUUAAAUUUCAUCUCUUAGUGUUUCCCAUUUUGUUGUUUCAGAAAGAUAUCAAGAAACCAUGAACAACUUUAGUAAUGAAGAGUUUGACUGCCAUUUCUUGGAUGAAGGCUUUACUGCCAAGGACAUCCGGGACCAAAAUAUGAAGUUUCUUCUUUUGACGGUUGCUGUUUCAGCAUUUCAAGGUCCUGUAGCCUGUUGGUGUUGUGGGAAGAGGUGAAGGAGCUGUGCUGACGGCACUGAGGCAUAUUUUCAAGAUCCCAAUGUGAUUCCUCAACAUCAUAUCGAUGAGAAAACGACCCAGAGCAGGAGGAAGGAGAGGAGGAAAUGGCAGCUUCUCAGUACUUCUCUACAAGAAACCUGAAUAUCCACAAAAGCUCUUUCGUUCUUAAGUGAUGGAG
Long non-coding RNA from Aethalodelphis obliquidens (Pacific white-sided dolphin), 462 nucleotides. RefSeq lists it as uncharacterized. NCBI's taxonomy places the organism in Eukaryota, Metazoa, Chordata, Mammalia, Artiodactyla, Delphinidae. The transcript is spliced from 3 exons. The record is from RefSeq and is a predicted model, not a curated record.